UAUUGCGCAAUGGGCGAAAGCCUGACGCAGCAACGCCGCGUGAGUGAUGAAGGCCUUCGGGUCGUAAAGCUCUGUCGGAGGGAACGAAUGCUCUUGAGGUUAAUAGCCUCAGGAGGUGACGGUACCCUCAAAGGAAGCACCGGCUAACUCCGUGCCAGCAGCCGCGGUAAUACGGAGGGGGCUAGCGUUGUUCGGAAUUACUGGGCGUAAAGCGCACGUAGGCGGACUGUUAAGUCGGGGGUGAAAUCCUGGGGCUCAACCUCAGAAUUGCCUCCGAUACUGGCAGUCUCGAGUGCGGGAGAGGUGAGUGGAAUUCCCAGUGUAGAGGUGAAAUUCGUAGAUAUUGGGAAGAACACCAGUGGCGAAGGCGGCUCACUGGCCCGUAACUGACGCUGAGGUGCGAAAGCGUGGGGAGCAAAC
RNAcentral lists this ribosomal RNA (420 nucleotides) under uncultured bacterium. Its description in RNAcentral is "bacterial SSU rRNA". It matches the Rfam family "Bacterial small subunit ribosomal RNA", at positions 362 to 773 of the family's 1533-position model. The record is from RNAcentral.